RNAcentral lists this small RNA (17 nucleotides) under Arabidopsis thaliana (thale cress). RNAcentral's name for it is "ATSL008910". Lineage: Eukaryota; Viridiplantae; Streptophyta; Magnoliopsida; Brassicales; Brassicaceae. The record is from RNAcentral.
UGUUUUGAUGCUACUUU